This 468-nucleotide ribosomal RNA is filed under the name uncultured bacterium. RNAcentral's name for it is "partial 16S ribosomal RNA". It matches the Rfam family "Bacterial small subunit ribosomal RNA", at positions 28 to 507 of the family's 1533-position model. The record is from RNAcentral.
GACGAACGCUGGCGGCGUGCUUAACACAUGCAAGUCGAACGGAAAGGCCCUGCUUUUGUGGGGUGCUCGAGUGGCGAACGGGUGAGUAACACGUGAGUAACCUGCCCUUGACUUUGGGAUAACUUCAGGAAACUGGGGCUAAUACCGGAUAGGAGCUCCUGCUGCAUGGUGGGGGUUGGAAAGUUUCGGCGGUUGGGGAUGGACUCGCGGCUUAUCAGCCUGUUGGUGGGGUAGUGGCUUACCAAGGCUUUGACGGGUAGCCGGCCUGAGAGGGUGACCGGCCACAUUGGGACUGAGAUACGGCCCAGACUCCUACGGGAGGCAGCAGCGGGGAAUAUUGCACAAUGGGCGGAAGCCUGAUGCAGCAACGCCGCGUGCGGGAUGACGGCCUUCGGGUUGUAAACCGCUUUCGCCUGUGACGAAGCGUGAGUGACGGUAAUGGGUAAAGAAGCACCGGCUAACUACGUG